CACGGGUGAGUAACACGUAUCCAACCUGCCGUCUACUCUUGACAGCCUUCUGAAAGGAAGAUUAAUACAAGAUGGCAUCAUGAGUCCACAUGUUCACAUGAUUAAAGGUAUUCCGGUAGACGAUGGGGAUGCGUUCCAUUAGAUAGUAGGCGGGGUAACGGCCCACCUAGUCUUCGAUGGAUAGGGGUUCUGAGAGGAAGGUCCCCCACAUUGGAACUGAGACACGGUCCAA
This 232-nucleotide ribosomal RNA is filed under the name uncultured bacterium. Its description in RNAcentral is "partial 16S ribosomal RNA". It matches the Rfam family "Bacterial small subunit ribosomal RNA", at positions 102 to 334 of the family's 1533-position model. The record is from RNAcentral.